This is a non-coding RNA of Picea glauca (white spruce), 121 nucleotides long. The record is from Rfam. Lineage: Eukaryota; Viridiplantae; Streptophyta; Pinopsida; Pinales; Pinaceae.
AUGUAAUGUAAUGCCUACAAUGUUAAUGCAUCAGAUCCCAUUAGAACUCAACAACUAAGCGUGCUUGGGUAGAGUAGUACUGGGAUGAUUGUCCUGUCAAGAAGUCCUGGUGUUUUACAUG